GUGAGGAAUAUUGGGCAAUGGGCGAAAGCCUGACCCAGCCACGCCGCGUGAGUGAUGAAGGCCUUCGGGUUGUAAAGCUCUGUGGGGAGGGAAGAAAAAGCGGGAGAGUAACUGCUCUCGUGUUGACGGUACCUCCUUAGCAAGCACCGGCUAACUCUGUGCCAGCAGCCGCGGUAAUACAGAGGGUGCAAACGUUGCUCGGAAUUACUGGGCAUAAAGCGCGUGUAGGCUGACAUGCAAGUCGGGUGUGAAAUCCCAGGGCUCAACCUUGGAACUGCACUCGAAACUGCACGUCUGGAGUACUGGAGAGGGAAGCGGAAUUCCGGGUGUAGAGGUGAAAUUCGUAGAUAUCCGGAGGAACACCAGUGGCGAAGGCGGCUUCCUGGACAGUAACUGACGCUGAGACGCGAAAGCGUGGGGAGCAAACAGGAUUAGAUACCCUUGUAGUCC
This 450-nucleotide ribosomal RNA is filed under the name uncultured bacterium. Its description in RNAcentral is "partial 16S ribosomal RNA". It matches the Rfam family "Bacterial small subunit ribosomal RNA", at positions 354 to 796 of the family's 1533-position model. The record is from RNAcentral.